This 430-nucleotide ribosomal RNA is filed under the name uncultured bacterium. RNAcentral's name for it is "bacterial SSU rRNA". It matches the Rfam family "Bacterial small subunit ribosomal RNA", at positions 355 to 776 of the family's 1533-position model. The record is from RNAcentral.
UGGGGAAUAUUGGACAAUGGGGGAAACCCUGAUCCAGCGACGCCGCGUGAGGGAAGAAGGCCUUCGGGUUGUAAACCUCUGUCGGAGGGGACGAAACCUAUUAUGGCUAACAUCCAUAGUAAUUGACGGUACCCUCAAAGGAAGCACCGGCUAACUCCGUGCCAGCAGCCGCGGUAAUACGGAGGGUGCAAGCGCUGUUCGGAAUUACUGGGCGUAAAGCGUGUUUAGGCGGGUUCAUGUGUCAGAUGUGAAAUCCCCCGGCUUAACUGGGGAGGGUCAUUUGAAACUGUGAAUCUUGAGUUUCGGGGAGGUGGGUGGAAUUCCCAGUGUAGAGGUGAAAUUCGUAGAGAUUGGGAGGAACAUCGGAGGCGAAAGCGACUCACUAACCGAACACUGACGCUGUCACACGAAAGCGUGGGGAGCAAACAGG